UUAAGCGACUAAGCGUACACGGUGGAUGCCCUGGCAGUCAGAGGCGAUGAAGGACGUGCUAAUCUGCGAUAAGCGUCGGUAAGGUGAUAUGAACCGUUAUAACCGGCGAUUUCCGAAUGGGGAAACCCAGUGUGAUUCGUCACACUAUCAUUAACUGAAUCCAUAGGUUAAUGAGGCGAACCGGGGGAACUGAAACAUCUAAGUACCCCGAGGAAAAGAAAUCAACCGAGAUUCCCCCAGUAGCGGCGAGCGAACGGGGAGNNNNNNNNNNNCACAUAUUGUGAGCUCGAUGAGUAGGGCGGGACACGUGGUAUCCUGUCUGAAUAUGGGGGGACCAUCCUCCAAGGCUAAAUACUCCUGACUGACCGAUAGUGAACCAGUACCGUGAGGGAAAGGCGAAAAGAACCCCGGCGAGGGGAGUGAAAAAGAACCUGAAACCGUGUACGUACAAGCAGUGGGAGCACGCUUAGGCGUGUGACUGCGUACCUUUUGUAUAAUGGGUCAGCGACUUAUAUUCUGUAGCAAGGUUAACCGAAUAGGGGAGCCGAAGGGAAACCGAGUCUUAACUGGGCGUUAAGUUGCAGGGUAUAGACCCGAAACCCGGUGAUCUAGCCAUGGGCAGGUUGAAGGUUGGGUAACACUAACUGGAGGACCGAACCGACUAAUGUUGAAAAAUUAGCGGAUGACUUGUGGCUGGGGGUGAAAGGCCAAUCAAACCGGGAGAUAGCUGGUUCUCCCCGAAAGCUAUUUAGGUAGCGCCUCGUGAAUUCAUCUCCGGGGGUAGAGCACUGUUUCGGCAAGGGGGUCAUCCCGACUUACCAACCCGAUGCAAACUGCGAAUACCGGAGAAUGUUAUCACGGGAGACACACGGCGGGUGCUAACGUCCGUCGUGAAGAGGGAAACAACCCAGACCGCCAGCUAAGGUCCCAAAGUCAUGGUUAAGUGGGAAACGAUGUGGGAAGGCCCAGACAGCCAGGAUGUUGGCUUAGAAGCAGCCAUCAUUUAAAGAAAGCGUAAUAGCUCACUGGUCGAGUCGGCCUGCGCGGAAGAUGUAACGGGGCUAAACCAUGCACCGAAGCUGCGGCAGCGACGCUUAUGCGUUGUUGGGUAGGGGAGCGUUCUGUAAGCCUGCGAAGGUGUGCUGUGAGGCAUGCUGGAGGUAUCAGAAGUGCGAAUGCUGACAUAAGUAACGAUAAAGCGGGUGAAAAGCCCGCUCGCCGGAAGACCAAGGGUUCCUGUCCAACGUUAAUCGGGGCAGGGUGAGUCGACCCCUAAGGCGAGGCCGAAAGGCGUAGUCGAUGGGAAACAGGUUAAUAUUCCUGUACUUGGUGUUACUGCGAAGGGGGGACGGAGAAGGCUAUGUUGGCCGGGCGACGGUUGUCCCGGUUUAAGCGUGUAGGCUGGUUUUCCAGGCAAAUCCGGAAAAUCAAGGCUGAGGCGUGAUGACGAGGCACUACGGUGCUGAAGCAACAAAUGCCCUGCUUCCAGGAAAAGCCUCUAAGCAUCAGGUAACAUCAAAUCGUACCCCAAACCGACACAGGUGGUCAGGUAGAGAAUACCAAGGCGCUUGAGAGAACUCGGGUGAAGGAACUAGGCAAAAUGGUGCCGUAACUUCGGGAGAAGGCACGCUGAUAUGUAGGUGAAGUCCCUUGCGGAUGGAGCUGAAAUCAGUCGAAGAUACCAGCUGGCUGCAACUGUUUAUUAAAAACACAGCACUGUGCAAACACGAAAGUGGACGUAUACGGUGUGACGCCUGCCCGGUGCCGGAAGGUUAAUUGAUGGGGUCAGCGCAAGCGAAGCUCUUGAUCGAAGCCCCGGUAAACGGCGGCCGUAACUAUAACGGUCCUAAGGUAGCGAAAUUCCUUGUCGGGUAAGUUCCGACCUGCACGAAUGGCGUAAUGAUGGCCAGGCUGUCUCCACCCGAGACUCAGUGAAAUUGAACUCGCUGUGAAGAUGCAGUGUACCCGCGGCAAGACGGAAAGACCCCGUGAACCUUUACUAUAGCUUGACACUGAACAUUGAGCCUUGAUGUGUAGGAUAGGUGGGAGGCUUUGAAGUGUGGACGCCAGUCUGCAUGGAGCCGGCCUUGAAAUACCACCCUUUAAUGUUUGAUGUUCUAACGUGGACCCGUGAUCCGGGUUGCGGACAGUGUCUGGUGGGUAGUUUGACUGGGGCGGUCUCCUCCUAAAGAGUAACGGAGGAGCACGAAGGUUGGCUAAUCCUGGUCGGACAUCAGGAGGUUAGUGCAAUGGCAUAAGCCAGCUUGACUGCGAGCGUGACGGCGCGAGCAGGUGCGAAAGCAGGUCAUAGUGAUCCGGUGGUUCUGAAUGGAAGGGCCAUCGCUCAACGGAUAAAAGGUACUCCGGGGAUAACAGGCUGAUACCGCCCAAGAGUUCAUAUCGACGGCGGUGUUUGGCACCUCGAUGUCGGCUCAUCACAUCCUGGGGCUGAAGUAGGUCCCAAGGGUAUGGCUGUUCGCCAUUUAAAGUGGUACGCGAGCUGGGUUUAGAACGUCGUGAGACAGUUCGGUCCCUAUCUGCCGUGGGCGCUGGAGAACUGAGGGGGGCUGCUCCUAGUACGAGAGGACCGGAGUGGACGCAUCACUGGUGUUCGGGUUGUCAUGCCAAUGGCACUGCCCGGUAGCUAAAUGCGGAAGAGAUAAGUGCUGAAAGCAUCUAAGCACGAAACUUGCCCCGAGAUGAGUUCUCCCUGACCCUUUAAGGGUCCUGAAGGAACGUUGAAGACGACGACGUUGAUAGGCCGGGUGUGUAAGCGCAGCGAUGCGUUGAGCUAACCGGUACUAAUGAACCGUGAGGCUUAACCUU
This 2826-nucleotide ribosomal RNA is filed under the name Shigella sonnei. Its description in RNAcentral is "bacterial LSU rRNA". It matches the Rfam family "Bacterial large subunit ribosomal RNA". The record is from RNAcentral. Lineage: Bacteria; Pseudomonadati; Pseudomonadota; Gammaproteobacteria; Enterobacterales; Enterobacteriaceae.